GACAUACCACUUGUUGCCUCGGCGGAUCAGCCCGCUCCCGGUAAAACGGGACGGCCCGCCAGAGGACCCCUAAACUCUGUUUCUAUAUGUAACUUCUGAGUAAAACCAUAAAUAAAUCAAAACUUUCAACAACGGAUCUCUUGGUUCUGGCAUCGAUGAAGAACGCAGCAAAAUGCGAUAAGUAAUGUGAAUUGCAGAAUUCAGUGAAUCAUCGAAUCUUUGAACGCACAUUGCGCCCGCCAGUAUUCUGGCGGGCAUGCCUGUUCGAGCGUCAUUUCAACCCUCAAGCCCUCGGGUUUGGUGUUGGGGAUCGGCGAGCCCUUGCGGCAAGCCGGCCCCGAAAUCUAGUGGCGGUCUCGCUGCAGCCUCCAUUGCGUAGUAGUAAAACCCUCGCAACUGGAACGCGGCGCGGCCAAGCCGUUAAACCCCCAACUUCUGAAUGUUGACCUCGGAUCAGGUAGGAAUACCCGCUGAACUUAAGCAUAUC
This 487-nucleotide ribosomal RNA is filed under the name Fusarium verticillioides. RNAcentral's name for it is "eukaryotic LSU rRNA". The stretch from base 121 to 274 matches the Rfam family "5.8S ribosomal RNA". The record is from RNAcentral. Lineage: Eukaryota; Fungi; Ascomycota; Sordariomycetes; Hypocreales; Nectriaceae.